GCCCGGCCCCUCCAACCUCCUCCACCGGCCAGAAUCCCGGUUUCUCGGUCCGGGGAGUGGGAGGAUGGAGGAAGCGAGGGAGGAAGGAGAGAAGGAAAAGGUGAACAGGCGAGCAGGGCGCUGUGCCAGGGAGCAGCAUCCAGGACCGUAAUUGUGGGCAAGGGCGGGGGACGUUCUGGGCGAGUGUGCCCGAGACCAGGCGCGUACACGUGUGUGUGUGUGUGUGUGUGUGUGUGUGUGUGUGUGUGCGCGCGUGUAUGUGUAAGAGAGAGGAGCGGAGCCUACCAUGCGCUUCCCUGGUGCGGAUCGCGGGAGAGCCCAAUCACAGGGCGAGCUGGACCUGGCUGUGAUCAUUUAUAAUCCUUGACUCCUCCGCUCAGCCACUUGUCAAGAUGACAGCCACAAAGACCUGACUGUCAGGCUCAGACUGAGUUUCUGCAGCUCUGUCACCUCUUCCACUAAAGGGAUUCCAGACACUGAAGAGCUGGCAGACAUGACAUUGACAGCUAUAGUUCAGACACUAGAGCAACCAACCCGUCUUUUGAAAAGCUCAGGAGUUAAGGAAGGCAAUAAGAAUAGAGGAGGCAUGAACACACAAGAACUUGGGAAGAGAGGAAUGUGAGCUGUGAAAAACCAAGCAGAAGUGUUUCCAUCUCAAUGGCACUAUGAGCUGGAGAAGUCAUAGGAAACCAAAGCACUCAAGAGGAGACACAGCUAUCAAGAACUCCUGUCCACCGGGCAUUGGUGGAAGGAGAUGAAGCCAUUUUUACCAACCUGAACCUUUUUUCCGUGGGGCACUAUACAGCUUAACCUAUGAACUCUGUCGAGCCGUUGAGGGCUCCUAAACAAUUUCUUAGCACGGAGUUCCUCUUUUCAGCAAACCCUGCUUCUCACUGAGUACAGAGUCGAAGCAAUCCUACAGCACUAACAUUUCAAUUGUUGCAUAUGGAGCCCAGUACAUAAAGGACUCCCCAAAGAGAGCGGUUUAUAACUGGAUUAUAGCUGCUCCACACAUUUAACUUUCCAUGAAUAGUUUCUGACGUUUUGAAGCACCCCAAGUCAUAACUUUUCUAUCCACGCAUGUAGGAAAGCAGUCACUGAUUGUGCGUUUCUUCAUUGACCAGAAUACAAACAUGGAUGAGACUGUUAGCACCCAUGGUAUCUGAGGGAGAACUUACAGAAUUUGUUUACCUAUGUUAUAUAUAAGACAAUAGAUUGUAUAUACAAAUAUAGAAAACAUUUCACUUGUUUGUAUGUGCACUAUAUGUAUUUUGAGUGCAGAUCAAGUAUGUAAUGGUCCCACUUAUUAUUAGUUUCAUUUUUUUACAAUUUCAUAACUGUGGCCUAAAAAUAGUAGGUGGAAAAUUUUAGAAGCAAUCCACACAUAUGUGUUAAAUUACACGACAUUUUGAGUACCGGGAUAAAUUCUCAUUCUGUAUUGCUUCUUCUUGCCCAAAAUAUAACUCAUUUCUCUGGUCAGUGCAUCUGCUCUGUAUAUCUUGCCUGCUACCUCCAUGAUCAGAACCAUUUAGGAACAGUGUAGGGUCUGUAUUCAAAUCAACCUGUUAUGCUUAGCAGUGUCUCAGUCAUGAUACUGAAAACUGAAUAUGUUAGAGAAAAAUUGGCUAGUGUCUUCUUCAAGUGAAAUGUAAAGGUCUCCACUUGAGGGGGGUUUUAUAGAGCUAUCAUGUUGUUAAAUCAUAUACUAGGCAUGUUUUAUAAAUUAACCUAUGUUAUAGAUAUGUAUGUACAAGAGAAAAGCAUGGUGCAUAUAGGGGCUGGUAUUAUUUGUGAUUUCUGAUAUUCACUGUAUUCUUGGAACACAGAAUUGUAUACCAUUGGCUUUCCCCAACCCUAAUGUUGUAUGUUUAAUGGAGACUUUGUUCUGUGACUAUUAAUCAAGUUCUGAACUCUACCAAGGAAGCACACACUUAUAUACACUUUCCUUACUAAGAAAAUGUUUCUCAUUUGUUCAAUCCAUUUACAGAUGGAGCUUCAUGGUAUGGGUAUCUGUGGUGUGGCCAAAGAAAAAUAAGGCAAGAAGAGGGAGAAAGAGGUUCUGGUUUAUUAUGGGUGCUAUAAGUAGAUGCCCAAAAUUCCCAAUGGAAAAAAUGCCCCCAGGCACACCACUCAUGGCGACUUCCAAAGUUUGUUCUCAGUAACUGCAUUCACACAAUACAUAAUUUUAACAGAUCCAUUUAUGGCUUUGAAAUGUGAAGUGUCCAAUGAAGAGAAGAAAUACUUAAAAGAGGAAAACUGGAAAAUAUUAAGAGCUGGACGGAGUUACUGAAAAACAGCCAGGUAGUGUGACUUUAGUUAAUAUAAAGGGCAAAUGUCUGGCCAUCUUUCAGUAUUUGCAAGAGCUCUACUCAUUAAGAUGUAUAAGGAUGGUUUUGAAUCAUUAGGAAAAGGUGAAGUUAUGUGUCUAUCUUAGCAUAUUCUGGGAAAAAAAUUAAAACAGUUCCAUUUAGAUUGAGUUCCAUCAAAAUCAUUAAAGUUAGUAAGAGUGAA
This 2511-nucleotide long non-coding RNA is filed under the name Mus musculus (house mouse). Its description in RNAcentral is "predicted gene, 19744". Lineage: Eukaryota; Metazoa; Chordata; Mammalia; Rodentia; Muridae. The record is from RNAcentral.